UGUUAAAAAAAUUCAUCCAUUUAUAUUGUUAAAAACGAGUAUAGCUGACGAAAUAAUCAGAUAGUGACACAUGACAUGCCACGUAUACCUCGUGUUGAUGUACAGUUAUCAAUUUUUUAAUAAUAGAAAUAGAUAAAUUUUUAAUA
This 146-nucleotide microRNA precursor is filed under the name Gossypium arboreum. Its description in RNAcentral is "MIR7502 microRNA precursor family". It matches the Rfam family "MIR7502 microRNA precursor family". The record is from Rfam by way of RNAcentral. Lineage: Eukaryota; Viridiplantae; Streptophyta; Magnoliopsida; Malvales; Malvaceae.